Molecule: ribosomal RNA, 347 nt
Filed under: Aeromonas hydrophila
Lineage: Bacteria; Pseudomonadati; Pseudomonadota; Gammaproteobacteria; Aeromonadales; Aeromonadaceae
Description: bacterial SSU rRNA
Rfam family: Bacterial small subunit ribosomal RNA
Source: RNAcentral
GCCGGCGAGCGGCGGACGGGUGAGUAAUGCCUGGGAAAUUGCCCAGUCGAGGGGGAUAACAGUUGGAAACGACUGCUAAUACCGCAUACGCCCUACGGGGGAAAGCAGGGGACCUUCGGGCCUUGCGCGAUUGGAUAUGCCCAGGUGGGAUUAGCUAGUUGGUGAGGUAAUGGCUCACCAAGGCGACGAUCCCUAGCUGGUCUGAGAGGAUGAUCAGCCACACUGGAACUGAGACACGGUCCAGACUCCUACGGGAGGCAGCAGUGGGGAAUAUUGCACAAUGGGGGAAACCCUGAUGCAGCCAUGCCGCGUGUGUGAAGAAGGCCUUCGGGUUGUAAAGCACUUUC